This 76-nucleotide transfer RNA is filed under the name Thermoanaerobacter sp. Its description in RNAcentral is "tRNA-Arg". It matches the Rfam family "tRNA". From Rfam's summary of the family: Transfer RNA (tRNA) molecules are approximately 80 nucleotides in length. Their secondary structure includes four short double-helical elements and three loops (D, anti-codon, and T loops). Further hydrogen bonds mediate the characteristic L-shaped molecular structure. tRNAs have two regions of fundamental functional importance: the anti-codon, which is responsible for specific mRNA codon recognition, and the 3' end, to which the tRNAs corresponding amino acid is attached (by aminoacyl-tRNA synthetases). tRNAs cope with the degeneracy of the genetic code in two manners: having more than one tRNA (with a specific anti-codon) for a particular amino acid; and 'wobble' base-pairing, i.e. permitting non-standard base-pairing at the 3rd anti-codon position. The record is from RNAcentral. Lineage: Bacteria; Bacillati; Bacillota; Clostridia; Thermoanaerobacterales; Thermoanaerobacteraceae.
GCGCCUGUAGCUCAGCGGAUAGAGCGUUCGGCUCCGGACCGAAAGGUCGCAGGUUCAAUUCCUGUCAGGCGCACCA